GAUGAACGCUGGCGGCGUGCCUAAUACAUGCAAGUCGAGCGAACAGACGAGGAACUUGCUCCUCUGACGUGAGCGGCGGACGGGUGAGUAACACGUGGAUAACCUACCUAUAAGACUGGGAUAACUUCGGGAAACCGGAGCUAAUACCGGAUAAUAUAUUGAACCGCAUGGUUCAAGAGUGAAAGACGGUUUUGCUGUAACUUAUAGAUGGAUCCGCGCCGCAUUAGCUAGUUGGUAAGGUAAGGGCUUACCAAGGCAACGAUGCGUAGCCGACCUGAGAGGGUGUUCGGCCACACUGGAACUGAGACACGGUCCAGACUCCUACGGGAGGCAGCAGUAGGGAAUCUUCCGCAAUGGGCGAAGGCCUGACGGAGCAACGCCGCGUGGGUGAUGAAGGUCUUCGGAUCGUAAAACUCUGUUAUUAGGGAAGAACAAAUGUGUAAGUAACUAUGCACGUCUUGACGGUACCUAAUCAGAAAGCCACGGCUAACUACGUG
Molecule: ribosomal RNA, 497 nt
Filed under: uncultured bacterium
Lineage: Bacteria
Description: partial 16S ribosomal RNA
Rfam family: Bacterial small subunit ribosomal RNA
Source: RNAcentral